UGCACGGUGGGGCAGUUGGUAGCACUGUUGCCUUGCAGCAAGAAAACAAGCAAAUCCUGGGUUCGACUCCCGGCCGGGGGUUUUUCUGCAU
Non-coding RNA from Ataeniobius toweri, 91 nucleotides. The record is from the annotation of a GenBank genome assembly. Lineage: Eukaryota; Metazoa; Chordata; Actinopteri; Cyprinodontiformes; Goodeidae.